This 236-nucleotide non-coding RNA is filed under the name Fructilactobacillus fructivorans. RNAcentral's name for it is "Lactobacillus fructivorans T-box sequence". It matches the Rfam family "T-box leader". From Rfam's summary of the family: Uncharged tRNA acts as the effector for transcription antitermination of genes in the T-box leader family. T-boxes are found upstream of many aminoacyl-tRNA synthetase genes and some amino acid biosynthetic genes usually in Gram-positive bacteria. The anticodon of a specific tRNA base pairs to a specifier sequence within the T-box motif, and the NCCA acceptor tail of the tRNA base pairs to a conserved bulge in the T-box antiterminator hairpin. Lineage: Bacteria; Bacillati; Bacillota; Bacilli; Lactobacillales; Lactobacillaceae. The record is from RNAcentral.
CUAAACAAACGGAAAAGUUGAGUAGACGGCAGAAGCUCUCAGAGAGUCUCAGGUAGGUGCGAUGAGAUGAGUUGACGCUGCCGAAGAUGGACUUGGAGUUUUUCAUCAGUGAAUAAUUAGCUGGUGACGGAUUUACCACCGAUAUCAAGGUCAAGUUAUUGAUUGAUAACUUGUAAGAUAAUGGUCGUGAGACGAUUAUGAACUAAGGUGGUACCGCGAAAGCAUUCGUCCUUUGA